AGAGUUUGAUCAUGGCUCAGGAUGAACGCUAGCGACAGGCUUAACACAUGCAAGUCGAGGGGCAGCAUGAUUUGUAGCAAUACAGAUUGAUGGCGACCGGCGCACGGGUGAGUAACGCGUAUGCAACUUACCUAUCAGAGGGGGAUAGCCCGGCGAAAGUCGGAUUAAUACCCCAUAAAACAGGGGUCCCGCAUGGGAAUAUUUGUUAAAGAUUCAUCGCUGAUAGAUAGGCAUGCGUUCCAUUAGGCAGUUGGCGGGGUAACGGCUCACCAAACCGACGAUGGAUAGGGGUUCUGAGAGUAAGGUCCCCAGUAUGGGGAAUGAGACACGGACAAAACUACUACGGGAGGCAGCAGUGAGGAAUAUUGGUCAAUGGCCGAGAGGCUGAACCAGCCAAGUCGCGUGAAGGAAGAAGGAUCUAUGGUUUGUAAACUUCUUUUAUAGGGGAAUAAAGUGGAGGACGUGUACUAUUUUGUAUGUACCCUAUGAAUAAGCAUCGGCUAACUCCGUGCCAGCAGCCGCGGUAAUAC
This 530-nucleotide ribosomal RNA is filed under the name uncultured bacterium. RNAcentral describes it as "bacterial SSU rRNA". It matches the Rfam family "Bacterial small subunit ribosomal RNA", at positions 8 to 526 of the family's 1533-position model. The record is from RNAcentral.